GAUGAACGCUGGCGGCGUGCCUAAUACAUGCAAGUCGAGCGAACGGACGAGAAGCUUGCUUCUCUGAUGUUAGCGGCGGACGGGUGAGUAACACGUGGAUAACCUACCUAUAAGACUGGGAUAACUUCGGGAAACCGGAGCUAAUACCGGAUAAUAUUUUGAACCGCAUGGUUCAAAAGUGAAAGACGGUCUUGCUGUCACUUAUAGAUGGAUCCGCGCUGCAUUAGCUAGUUGGUAAGGUAACGGCUUACCAAGGCAACGAUGAAUAGCCGACCUGAGAGGGGGGGAGGAAACACGGGAAGAGAAAAGGGGUAAGGAAGCAUAAGGGGGGAAGAAGAAGGAAUUCGUCAGAAAGGGGAGAAGGACGGAGGGAGAAACGCGGGGGGAGGAAGAAAGGUGUGGGGAAAGAAAAACUUUGUUAUGAGGAAAAAAAAUAGGGGAAAGAAAGUGUGCAAAUCUGGAGGAAACAAAAUAAGAAAACCAGGAAAAACAAGGGC
Molecule: ribosomal RNA, 497 nt
Filed under: uncultured bacterium
Lineage: Bacteria
Description: partial 16S ribosomal RNA
Rfam family: Bacterial small subunit ribosomal RNA (bases 20-341)
Source: RNAcentral